RNAcentral lists this ribosomal RNA (355 nucleotides) under uncultured bacterium. RNAcentral's name for it is "bacterial SSU rRNA". It matches the Rfam family "Bacterial small subunit ribosomal RNA", at positions 527 to 881 of the family's 1533-position model. The record is from RNAcentral.
GUAGGGAGCAAGCGUUAUCCGGAUUUAUUGGGUGUAAAGGGUGCGUAGACGGGAAAUUAAGUUAGUUGUGAAAUCCCUCGGCUUAACUGAGGAACUGCAACUAAAACUGGUUUUCUUGAGUGCUGGAGAGGAAAGUGGAAUUCCUAGUGUAGCGGUGAAAUGCGUAGAUAUUAGGAGGAACACCAGUGGCGAAGGCGACUUUCUGGACAGUAACUGACGUUGAGGCACGAAAGUGUGGGGAGCAAACAGGAUUAGAUACCCUGGUAGUCCACACCGUAAACGAUGGAUACUAGGUGUAGGGUGUGAUAAACAUUCUGUGCCGUCGCAAACGCAGUAAGUAUCCCACCUGGGGAGU